This 465-nucleotide ribosomal RNA is filed under the name uncultured bacterium. RNAcentral's name for it is "partial 16S ribosomal RNA". It matches the Rfam family "Bacterial small subunit ribosomal RNA", at positions 338 to 795 of the family's 1533-position model. The record is from RNAcentral.
CCUACGGGCGGCUGCAGUGGGGAAUAUUGCGCAAUGGGCGAAAGCCUGACGCAGCGACGCCGCGUGAGGGAUGAAGGCCUUCGGAUUGUUAAACUCUGUCAGCAGGGAAGAACGGUCACUGUGCUAAUCAUCUGUGAAUUGACGGUACCUGCAAAGGAAGCACCGGCUAACUCCGUGCCAGCAGCCGCGGUAAUACGGAGGGUGCGAGCGUUAAUCGGAAUUACUGGGCGUAAAGCGAUCGUAGGCGGUAUGUCAAGUCAAGGGUGAAAUCCCCGCGCUCAACGUGGGAACUGCCUUUGAUACUGGCAGACUGGAGUGUGUGAGAGGAUAGUGGAAUUCCAGGUGUAGGAGUGAAAUGCGUAGAUAUCGGGAGGAACAUCAGUGGCGAAGGCGACUAUCUGGCACAUGACUGACGCUGAGGAGCGAAAGCGUGGGUAGCAAACAGGAUUAGAUACCCUAGUAGUC